This 85-nucleotide transfer RNA is filed under the name Cohaesibacteraceae bacterium. RNAcentral's name for it is "tRNA-Leu". It matches the Rfam family "tRNA". From Rfam's summary of the family: Transfer RNA (tRNA) molecules are approximately 80 nucleotides in length. Their secondary structure includes four short double-helical elements and three loops (D, anti-codon, and T loops). Further hydrogen bonds mediate the characteristic L-shaped molecular structure. tRNAs have two regions of fundamental functional importance: the anti-codon, which is responsible for specific mRNA codon recognition, and the 3' end, to which the tRNAs corresponding amino acid is attached (by aminoacyl-tRNA synthetases). tRNAs cope with the degeneracy of the genetic code in two manners: having more than one tRNA (with a specific anti-codon) for a particular amino acid; and 'wobble' base-pairing, i.e. permitting non-standard base-pairing at the 3rd anti-codon position. Lineage: Bacteria; Pseudomonadati; Pseudomonadota; Alphaproteobacteria; Hyphomicrobiales; Cohaesibacteraceae. The record is from RNAcentral.
GCGGAUGUGGCGGAAUUGGUAGACGCGCUAGGUUUAGGUCCUGGUGCCGCAAGGCGUGGGGGUUCGAGUCCCUUCAUCCGUACCA